GCAUAUCAAUAAGCGGAGGAAAAGAAACCAACAGGGAUUGCCUCAGUAACGGCGUAGUGAAGCGGCAACAGCUCAAAUUUGAAAUCUGGCCUCACGGUCCGAGUUGUAAUUUGUAGAGGAUGCUUCGAGCAUGGUCUGGCCUAAGUUCCUUGGAACAGGACGUCAUAGAGGGUGAGAAUCCCGUAUGCGGCCAGGUGCCUACGCUCAUGUGAAGCUCCUUCGACGAGUCGAGUUGUUUGGGAAUGCAGCUCAAAAUGGGUGGUAAAUUUCAUCUAAAGCUAAAUAUUGGCCAGAGACCGAUAGCGCACAAGUAGAGUGAUCGAAAGAUGAAAAGCACUUUGGAAAGAGAGUUAAACAGUACGUGAAAUUGUUGAAAGGGAAGCGCUUGCAACCAGACUUGCGCGCGGCCGAUCAUCCGGUGUUCUCACCGGUGCACUCGGUCGCGCUCAGGCCAGCAUCGGUUUCGGUGGUUGGAUAAAGGCCCUAGGAAUGUAGCUUCUCUCGGGGAGUGUUAUAGCCUAGGGUGCAAUGCAGCCCACCGGGACCGAGGACCGCGCUUCGGCUAGGAUGCUGGCGUAAUGGUUGUAAGCGACCCGUCUUGAAACACGGACCAAGGAGUCUAACAUCUAUGCGAGUGUUUGGGUGUCAAACCCAUACGCGUAAUGAAAGUGAACGGAGGUGAGAACCCUUAAGGGUGCAUCAUCGACCGAUCCUGAUGUCUUCGGAUGGAUUUGAGUAAGAGCAUGGCUGUUGGGACCCGAAAGAUGGUGAACUAUGCCUGAAUAGGGUGAAGCCAGAGGAAACUCUGGUGGAGGCUCGCAGCGGUUCUGACGUGCAAAUCGAUCGUCAAAUUUGGGCAUAGGGGGCGAAAGACUAAUCGAACCAUCUAGUAGCUGGUUCCUGCCGA
Molecule: ribosomal RNA, 907 nt
Filed under: Pseudeurotium ovale
Lineage: Eukaryota; Fungi; Ascomycota; Leotiomycetes; Thelebolales; Pseudeurotiaceae
Description: LSU rRNA
Rfam family: Eukaryotic large subunit ribosomal RNA
Source: RNAcentral